This 429-nucleotide ribosomal RNA is filed under the name bacterium. RNAcentral describes it as "partial 16S ribosomal RNA". It matches the Rfam family "Bacterial small subunit ribosomal RNA", at positions 355 to 776 of the family's 1533-position model. The record is from RNAcentral.
UGGGGAAUUUUGGACAAUGGGCGAAAGCCUGAUCCAGCAAUGCCGCGUGUGUGAAGGAGGCCUUCGGGUUGUAAAGCACUUUUGUCCGGAAAGAAAUGGCUCUGGUUAAUACCUGGGGUCGAUGACGGUACCGGAAGAAUAAUGACCGGCUAUCUACGUUCCAGCAGCCGCGGUAAUACGUAGUGUCCAAGCGUUAAUCGGACUUCCUGGGCGUAAAGCGUGCGCAGGCGGUUGUGCAACACCGAUGUGAAAUCCCCGAGCUUAACUUGGGAAUUGAAUUGGUGACUGGAAGGCUAGAGUGUGUCAGAGGGGGGUAGAAUUCCACGUGUAGCAGUGAAAUGCGUAGAGAUGUGGAGGAAUACCGAUGGCGAAGGCAGCCCCCUGGGAUAACACUGACGCUCAUGCACGAAAGCGUGGGGAGCAAACAGG